RNAcentral lists this long non-coding RNA (31419 nucleotides) under Hordeum vulgare. RNAcentral describes it as "long non-coding RNA (HVUL_LNC001008)". The record is from RNAcentral. Lineage: Eukaryota; Viridiplantae; Streptophyta; Magnoliopsida; Poales; Poaceae.
GACUCACUGCUGCAGUGAGCGCCUUGGCGGUGGUGCGGCGGACCCGACGAGCUGGUGGCCUGGAAUGCAACGGACAACGGCGGAUCUGGCACGUGGGAGCGCUUGUCUGCAGGGGAGCAUGGCGAGCAAAGGUGGUGUCAUGGCGCGGCGGCCAGAUCUGGGGAGUUGCGUCUGUGUGCGCAUGGUGGGAUGGUCUGGCGACACGGGCCGGUGCGUCGGAUGGCUGUGUUCUACGCCUGGUUCGAUUGCGUUGUGCCAUGUGGAGGCAGUGGCGGUGAAGUCGGGGUUACUGGUGGUCUCUCCUUCAAGCGACGGCUGCGCCAUCCAAUUUGCUUGGUGUUGUACGAGGCUCCCAUAGACCCGAUCCUGCAUGAAUUCUGUUGCUCUUGCGUGCGGCGGUGCGGGCAGCGCAAUUUGGCUUGGUUCCCGCACAUGUCCUGCGCGCGGCGGUGCGGACCGGCUAGGUCCGGCUGUUCCUCGACCGGUGCGGAGGCUUGCCCAGAUCUGCGCACAGAGGUAAAGGACGGCCUGAUCCAUCUUGGUCGCCCAGGGCCUGCGAGCGGCGGUGCGGACCGGUCAGAUUGGCGUGUGCUUGUCGAGUUCCUGCGUGUGGCUUCGACGGAUUCGUUUCUGGCAGUGUCUGGUUUGGGUCGUGAUGCACCGUGGCACCGGUGGCCUCGGAUCCUAGGAUUGUUGGUGGAAGGCUCGGUUCCGAAUGAAAAUCUUGCAUCGACCUUGUCGUUGCGAGCGAUAACGGUAUCCAUGGAUGUCGUCUCCCUCCUUGGAGGUAUCGCUGUGGGGCCGUUUGCCCUUCGUACCAACUGGCGUGAGAUCUCCGGGUGAAAACCUAAGAUCAGGCGGUGCCAGAUCGGGUGACGACGGUGUCCUCAAUAUCGUUUCUUCUUUGGGGGCGUCACCUUGAAGAUCCCGACGAUGGAUUUCGAUGGUAGGCACGAUUGAUGGUAGAGCUUGGGUUUGUGGUGCUGCCGACGGAUCUUUCUUUCUUUUCUUUGUGCACUGCCCUUUGCCGUGCUUUCCUCCUCUGAGGACUCUUGUAACACCCUCCUCUGAUAAAUGAAUUUGGCAGUUCAACUGCCGACAUUUAAAAAAAAGAAAAGCAACCUAAAAAUUUGUAAUAGUAAAGUCAGGCACGGACCUACCUGACCUUACACAAUGACAAUCAGGUAUUCAAUCAUGUCAUGCUUGGCAACCAUGCUGUUUCGUGGGCUGCGAGUCAUUCAAAUCGCUGCCACUCAAUGCAGCCUCCAGCUUGUCCUGGAGGAUGUUGAUGCGAACUGCGGCUCUACCAAUCCUCUAGAUCGAUCGCCUUGCGAUCUUGCCAUGCCAUCGCCGCCAUAACCGCCGGUUCUAACCCCGACGGUGGCUGCAAGCCCUACAUCAGAUCAUUUUCUGACAUACGAAUAUCAUACAUUAGAUCAAUCAGUUCAUAACACCAUAUAUGCAGCAUCAAUAGUUCUACAUCAGCAGCAGAAAUUGGUGCAACUCUGGAUGAAUAGGGCGGCAUCCCGCUACUCACCUUGCCUGACGAGCUCAUGGCCAACGACUGGGAGGAGGGGAGGGGCACGAACGGGGUUCCUUCGCUGGUUCUGGUCGUCGUCCGGAGUGGGGAAGCGUCCGCCAGAGUGGAGCUCCGGCCGGACCGACUAGGAGCUGCUGCGAGGGAGGAGCCCCGCCCUAGGAGUCGCGACAGAGGAUGGAGAAGCGACACAAGAUGGAUCCUACCCGCCAGCCAUGUCGCCAGAGCUAGCCGCGACGAGUAGCCAGCGACCGGCGGCGGCAGUGGCGGACACGAGAGGGGGAUUGAGGCGCCGGGCAACUGGGGUCAGGGGAGUUUCCGUAAUAUCGACAAACCAUGGUGCCUGAAGCUACUCUUCCUCCAAAACACUCUUUAUCUAUAGUCUCAUACUCCCUCCGUCCGAAAAUAAGUAUAGUUGCUAUAGUAUAUAAGGCAUGUUUGGUUCAUAAGUCUUAGGACUUUUUAUAGUCCCAACUUAUAAGUCCUAAGGGGGUGUUUGGUUACAUGGACUUAUUAGGGACUUAGAACUUAUAAGUCCCUUUAAGUCCCAUCUAAACCAAACAGGAGAGACUUAUAGACACUUAUAGGGACUUAUAGUUGUAAUAUGGUCUUUUAGUUCACUAAAAGACCAUAUUACAACUAUAAGUCCCUCCUUAAGAGUCUUAUUUCAUAAGUCCCAAAUGCCCACUUUAAGUCCCUAUAAGUCCCUCUUGUUUGGUUUAGAUGGGACUUAAAGGGACUUAUAAGUUCUAAGUCCAUGUAACCAAACACCCUCUAAGUCCCUAAAAAGUUCCUACAAGUUUGGUUCCUAGGACUUAACAUGGACUAAAAGACCAUAUUACAACUAUAAAUCCCUAUAAGUACCUCUUUGAGAGUCUUAUUUCAUGAGUCCCAAAUACCCACUUUAAGUCCCUAUAAGUCCCUCCUGUUUGGUUUAGAUGAAACUUAAAAGGACUUAUAAGUUCUAAGUCCCUAAUAAGUCCAUGUAACCAAACACCUCCAUAAUAGCACAACGUCAGACCAGACCAACACCGUCGAUGCAACUAAAAUCUGACAGCUAACAAACUAUGUUUCUUAAAGAAAAGGCAAUUGGUAGGAAAGUAAUCACCCGCAACCCCGCGUGUAACGCUCCCCUAAUCUCUCCCUAAAAAACCUCCGCCAAUCUCUCCUAAUGGCAAACGCAGCCGCACCGGCCGAGCUCCUCAACCUCGCACGCACCGCCCGAAGCCCGCCUCACCCGGAUCUCCUUCUCCUCCCCGCCUUGCAAGCAGCUGCCUCCUGCUCUCCUCAUCGUUGAGCAGCACGGCCACCCCACUAGCUAGCUUCGCCCUUACUUCACAACGCUCUUUGGCAUGUGGACCUUGUAAUAAUUUUUGUAUAAUGUAAUAAUUCUUUAUUGUUGUAAUUGUAUUAAGCUUUUGUUGCAUGGGAGCAAAUUUCUUUUUCUUUGGUAGCAAACUUUCAUUUGUUAGGAAACAAUGCACAAUUUAUGUUCCAGCGAAAAUAAAUGUAAAUGUUAUCACUAGAAGCAAAAUCACGUUGCAAUGGAAACAAAUUUUCUAGUCAAAUUUUUUUUAGGGUUAGUCAACUUAUUAGUUAGCUGGUUAGAGGUACAAUGAACAUUUAUAAUGGACCACCCAAAUUUCUGUUAGAUCUAACACAAAUUUCUAUUAUAUCGAACAAAUUUGAUUAUGGUUGAAGCAAAUUAGUGAGUUGCUAGAAGCAAAAAAAAUUGUCGCAUGAAGCAAACUUAAUUGUGAACAGUCUUGUUUGGAAACUCACAAUCAAGACUGGGAUGCACGUUGCUCUCAAAAAUGGAUGGGAUGCACGUUCUGGAUAGACCUGCAGCACACGAGUCUGCUUGGAGGAAUAAACGGUAAGAGAAAGAGGUUAGUUAGGAAGUCAACGAGAUUACAGGGAGUAGUUAUACGGAAGGAAGCGGUCAAUUAAUGAACCAAGACAGAAAAUCUCGGACGGUCCUGGCGAGCAGACGUGACAAUCUCUACGCUUUUCAUUGGUCGACCUUCGAAUGGUCUAAUGGAUGCAAAAUGUGUGCAGUCUGAUACCUAGCGGUUCCUAGAGGGAUGAAAAUAAGUUGAGCCAGCUUCUCCAAAACGAGUUCUUUUGGACUUCUAGCAUAUUUCUACGUUAAGCUGCUAGAAGCCCCAAAAUAACUUGCCCUUUGUGUUGUUGGGGAGAGAGAUGGAUGUGGAAUGGGAUACGACAAGGAAUCCUGCGCGAAGGACAUUUCGAGUGGAGGACGGUUUGCUUCUGUGUCGUUCCGCCUCUAUGGGUCGAGGGAGUAGGACCGUGUGAGCGAAGGGGCAUGACCGCGUGAAGGCACGUGGAUCAAUUUGAGGUGCAGAUUUGAGCCAUCCAUGGUGAAUCAAAUGGCUGAAAGUAAUUAUUGUGACGUGGAUGCAUGAGAAUGCAGAGAAAUCAGGUAGUGGGUGGCUCCUAUUUAGAUAUAGAAGAGUAACCUAGCAAAUUAUUAGGUACUCCUUCCGUCCCAUAACAUAAUAUAAGAGUGUUUUUACACUACAUUAAUGUAAAAAAGCUCUUAUAUUAUGGGGCGGAGGGAGUACUUGUGAAUCUAAAUUAGCACACAUUUUUCUAUUUCUUUCAUGGGAAAAAGAAACAUCCUUGCCUUUUAAUACAUUGGUACAAAUAUGAGUUUGUAGAAUCCUUGGUGAAGGUAACACUCAAAGGUUACAGCUCGACGCCUCUAACUGCUAGCCAGGACCAACGCUGAAAGCAAAGUCAUGUGACCUGCGCUCCCAUUGUCACCCGCUGCCUAGAUGUUGUCUUGAUUGUGUCAAUCAUGUGGGCUAAUCUGAGUUGAGUGUUGCCAAAGAUGACAACAUUGUGAUUCUUCCAGAAACACCAUGCCACGAGCAUAAUAGACAAGGAUGUGUCACUUCGGACUAUAGCAUGGAUGGAUUGACCGGGGCGGUUAAGGGCGAUCGUGCGAAGUGGCGCUAUCGACAUAGAUGGGGGCGGUGCCGGGGGUCGAGGAGCAUGAUGGGGGCGGCGUCGGGGGCAAGGAGAGCGGCAGGGGGCGGUGCUGGAGGAGGCAAGCGCGUUGGCGGUAGCACUAGGAGGGGAGGUCGAGGGAUGGGGGUGACGGCGCGAGUGGAGGACGAAGACCGCACGGAAUGAAAUUCUGGCCCCUAGUUUUCCCCAAAACUAUUAAGACACGUAGAAAAAUAUCUAUGGCAUUGCUAAUGUCAACAACGCCGUAGAUAUUCUAUCUAUGGCAUUAUUGACGCUAACGACGCCAUAGAUAUUUUUCCUUCAUUUACUUUUUCUUAUUUUAGAAUAACGGUAAUGUAGAUUUAUUACAUUGAUAAUAAACUUGAGUCGAUACAAAUAUUGAAUAAUAGGAGAUACAUAAAAGUAAGUAUGACAUUGUCUCUCAUUUCUCUCGACAACGGAAGUUACUGUCUCAGACAACACACUUUUGCUCCUUCUAACGCCGGAUUGGUCAAAAUCUUCCAUUUUUGUCUCUCUAGUCUUCGACAUGCUCCUCAUCGCCCCUUCGUUCCAGCUCCUUGUUAAAAGUGUUUCUCGCUUGCUGAAUCUUCGCGCGUCCUUCUUGUUCAUCCUGAUAAUUUGCCUCUUGGUUGUCCUUCCAUUCCGACUCUUUUUGUCCGUCCAAAUGAUCUUCAUCAUGUUUGGCAUUGGACUCAUUCUCCCCUUCUUCCAACUCUUCAUCGGGAGGGUAUCCUGCUUCUUCAUAUGCCUCCCCUUUGACGUUAGCAUCCUGCUCGUCCUUACAGUGCCUUCUUCAUCAUGGGUAACCAGGCAUGAAAUCAUGUUUGAGCAAGUGCGUCUUCAAUAGAAGGGUCGAUCAAAAUUUUGUUUUUGCACUUCUUACAUGGACAUAAUAUUUAUGGUUUACCCUUGCGGUUCAUAUCUUCCAACGGUGUCUUGACGAACACAUUUAAAGUUAGAUCCAUAUAUGCAUGGGUCAUACAAUAAAUCAAGUUGACUGCAAGGGCCACAAAACAUUUCAGCAUUAUGCAUUUGCUGCAAAUUAUGUAAUCGAAACUUGGGCGUUACCUAGAUCAUAGACGAAGGCGAAUUAGCUAGUCGUCGAUAGAACGAUCGGGAGGGUAGAGGCGAGCCACAUAUGUUAGGAUUUGUAGAGAGAUUGAUAUGAAGAAAUUAUUUCCCCAGAACAUAGUAUCAUAGCUGUAUAUAUAGGUGAGGUAAAAUGGUCAGAAUUGACAACGCAAAUACUAAUGGGAUGUCACUUUUAGGGAAGCAACUACCAUUUGUGACCAAAAAGUGGACCACAUAUCAUAUACUAGUGACAUGGCACAACGUAUCAUGCCACAAGUAGUCCUAAUAGUGGCAACGUUGGUUGGUUUUCCACGUCAACAGUAACUUGCACUUGAUCAGAAUGAUGGGUCCCACAUACAAUUGGCGUGCAAAAAUAUGCCAACGCCACCACUACAAGCAUAAUGAUGUCAUACCAAAUAUGCCAACCCCGUCACUAUUUGGAAAAUGUAGUCGUGGCAUUGGCUGAAAAUGGUGCUCAAAGCACAUAUGCUCCCUUGGCGGUUUUGAUAAUUCAUGACAACAUACAUUGUCUCUUGGACUAACACUUUUACCUAGUAUAUUUCAGGUAUAGUCCACAAAGCUCAUUGGCUAUAGGAUUGUGAGGAGAUGCCCCUUGAUGCAAGGAAGGAAUAGGAUUGGCUCAAGCUUCAAGCAAGAAGACUCUUCAUUUCACUUUGUGAGAAAUCACUUUGAGUCCAUAGGAAAGCCAAUACUAUUAAAAGGGGGAGAGGUAUUAUGAUGAAUUGGUUGCUCAAGUGCUUAGAGGUAGCCACCAAAAAUACUCAGCCAUUCUCUCGCAAAAUAUCUCUCUCCAAUCCCAAACCAACAAAAUCGGUGCCACCAACAAUUUCCACUCGGUCCUACCGAUUUUACACUUGACAGAUCGUAUGCCAAACACUACCAUCUCGGUACCACAAACAUUCCUAUCGGUGCCACCAAGAUUCAGUGACCAACUUUCUGUUGAGGAGAUUUCAAGAAUCGGAAUAUCCGAGUUUGAAAUCGGUCUCAUCGAGAUUUGGAAGCUGGUCUAGGUCAUCGUAUCGAUACCACCGAGAUUCUUAUAUCGGUCUCACCGAGAAUUCAGAAUUUGCCACAUUUAGUGCAACUCGGUACCGCCGAGAUUCAUUUCGGUGUCACCGAGUUGGCAAAUAAUGUUGUAACGGUUGGAUUUCGGGGGAUGCACUCAGAACACACUUACACUUGCCAGAUUUAUUUUUCUGAGAGAGAGCCACCUACUCAUGUGUUGAGAUCAAGAGAUUCCAUUCCAACCCUUUGAACUUUGAUUUGUAGCCUCCCCAAGUUGCUUUCCACAAGAUCAAUCUCUCCUACCCCUGCCAAAUCUGAGAGAGAGUGAUUGAGUGUUGAGGAGACUAUCUUUAGAAGCACAAGAGCAAGGAGUUCAUCGUUCUACCACAUAUAUUACCUUUUGGAGGGUGGUGCCUCCUAGAUUGGUUAGGUGUUGCUUGGGAGCCUCCUACUUCGUGUUGUGGAGUUGAACCAAGAUGUUUAUAAGGGCAAGGAGAUCGCUUACUUCGUGAAGAUCUAUCGUGAGUGAGGCUAGUCCUGUGUGGACGGAAGCUGUGAUGGAAUAGACAAGGCCGCUUCUUUGUGGACCCCUUCACUACUGGAAUUCACUUAUUUGUCGUCUGACAGAUCUGUGUCGUCUGCUGGCUGAUGGCAAAGAGUGUCUGUGCCAUCAGCUACCACAAAGUGGACGGCAAAGAACUGGCUGAGGGCAUAGAACUUCUUUGCCAUCUGUCACUUCUUUGCCGUUAGACGCACACGACAAAGAGCCGCACACCAGACGACAAAGCUACAGGUGGGGCUCGCCUGACUACGAAGACGUUAGGUCAAACUGGAAUCACUUCUUUGCCUUCAGCCGCAGACGGCAAAGAUCCGCACAGCACACGACACAGCUGCAGGUGGGGCCCACCUGACUGCGAGGGCGUUAGAUCGAACUGGGAUCUCUUCUUUGCCGUCAGCCAUGGACGGCAAAGAGCCGCCAGCAUACGGCAAAGAGCCGCCAGCAGACGGCAAAGAGCCAACGUCUCUAACGGCUCUUUGCCCCCACCCUCGCCCCUCUCACUCACGUCCCACACGCUUGACCGGCCCAUCUCUUCCACUCCUCUCCCCUGACGCCUACCGCCGCCACCACCAUCGCGGCCGCACCGACCCUGUUGCGUCGCCGCCCCACCGCCCCUGGCGCCGCCCCGGUGCCCCACAGUCCCGGCGCAGCCGCCCCUCCGCCCCCGGCGCCGCCCAACCGCCCCAACACCCCCGGCGCCCGACAGCCCCCAACGCCCUGGCGCCCCGACACGACCACGACGCCCCAGCCGCCCCGCCGGUGAGCCCCCCCCCCACGCAAUUUGCAUGGUUAGGUUAGUUUAUUAGGUUUAGGUUAGUUAGUUAGCUUGUUAAAUUAGUUAGGUUAGUUAGUUAUGUUAGUUAGUUAGUUAGCUUAAUAGAAAGAAGAGGAAGAAGAAGAAGAAGAGGAGGAGGAGGAGGAGAAGAGGAGAAGAGGAGGAGGAGGAGAAGAAAAAAAUAAGAAGGAGAAGAAGAAAAGAAGAAGACAAGAAGAGAAAAAGAGAAGAAGAAGAAGAGAAAAAGAGAAGAAGAAAAAAAAUAAGAAGGAGAAGAAGAGAAAAGGAAGAAAAUAAGAAUAAGUAGAAGAAGAGGAUAAAGAAAAAUUGAAAUACAAAUAAGAGGAAGAAGAAGAAGAGGAGGAAGAAGAGGAGAGGAGGAGGAGGAGAAGAAGAAGAAGAAGAGGAGAAGAGGAGAAGAAAUAGGAAAAAUGAAAAUAAGGAAGAAGAAGAGAAGAAGAAGGAGCAUGAGGAGAAGGAGCACUCCUUAUUCUUCUCCUUCUUCUCUCCUCCUGCCGGCAGAAGAAAGAAGAGAAGAAGAAGAAGANNNNNNNGAAGAAGAAGAAGAAGAAAAGGAAGAAAUGGAAGAAGAAGAAAAGGAAGAAGAGGAAAAAAAGAAUCGGCCAAAGUAGAAAAUGACACCCUCACACCCUGACACCCUGACACGAUGCCCCGACACCCCGACGCGAUGCCCCGACAUGACAUCCUGACACCCGAGCACAAAACUCCGUGCAACUGUUAAUAUGCCGUAUAUUUGUGUUAGGUCGUAUAUUUUUCGAUUUUAUUAAUGAACACAAAAUAUUUUUGUUGAUCGGGUGGAUUUACAUGUGACAGUUGUCUCUAUGGUGUGAGGUCUGCUGUGCGAAGACCUCCCUCUGCAUUCUACAAGCUCCGCCCCUGCAUUCGUGGGUCAGUACAAAUGUCAUCUCCUCCUCGCCCCUUCAUUUACUAUGGGUCGGUUUUCGGAUGACACUUGCUAGAUGUAGGUAAUUAAAUUAAUUUAUCAGUAUGCGUGACCAGUAUGCGUCUCCCAUUCGAAAGGGUUACAUUUAUAAAUAUGCAUGCAUUUGCUUAUAUUUAUAACCGUAAUUCUUUUGAAUUGUCCAACGUUAUCCAUGGACAGCCCGAGUAUGUGUAGAUUGGGUUCAUUUUCCCAUAUUCUUUGUUCCAAAUCCGAUGCAUAAUUUCAUCAGUGCCUCCCUGUUGUUCUCCGGAUACACAUCCUCUCUGUUUAUUGUGGAGACGUGUAUCAGGAGAACGGUGGGGAGGUGCUGCCGAAAUUUUGCGUUGGAUCCGGAGCAGAGCAUGGGAAAACGAACCCAAUCUACACAUACUCGGGUGGGAUUAGGACCUAUCUUUACCUAUUAGUGUGUAGGUUACAUGGACGUAAUAAAAAUGGCGAACUUGAUUAACUAAUGAAUAUAUAUGCUAAAUUAUAUAUAAAUUUAUUUCUUGUGUGUUUAGUAGCUAGGCAAGAUGAGUGAUCGUGCGUGGAUGUACACCGGUCACCCUAGUCAGAAAGAGAUGACGAAAGAAUGGUUUCUAAAAACCAAGGAAUUUGUGAAAGCCGCAUUUGGAAAUGGCCAGGAAAGAAACUAUUGCCCUUGUCCUCGAUGCGACAACUAUAAAAGGCGACAAAGGCUGUAAUGAUUAAACACCUGCAGAGGAGGGGUUUUAAGCCUAAUUAUACGGUGUGGACAUUUCAUGGUGAGUCUAUACAACGCACCAGAGCUGAGGUGGUUCAUCGUUGUAAUGUCCCAAGAGUGUAUCUUUCCCUUUUUCUAACCUUCUCCAUGUGGGUUCAACUUGCCUUUGAUAUGAGGUUAUGCAAUGUGAUAUUUCAUGUGAUGCUUCCCUUGUUUUAUUCUUAUUUGCAUGCAUGCAUCCAUGCCAUCCCAUUCAUCAUUGCCUUUGUAUUGUUGUUCUUGUGUUCCAUGAGUUGUCAUGUGAUGAUGGUGUGUGUGGUAAGUGGUCUUGAGGAGUGGUGCAAUGGUAGUAGGAAGCUAUGUGAUUGCCCUAGGUUUUUAAAACCUUCCCUCUCUCUUUUAUACCAAGGUCAAGUUUCACCUGUUCCUUCUCUAUUUCAAAAAUGUCCUUGUGUUAGCAUUGUUUUGUGGUGGAUUUGAGAUGUGGUUUUGAUGUUUUGAAUAGGUGUGCAAAUGGUGCAAAUAGUUACAAAACAUAUCCAAUAUUUUUGUUUUGUAAAUAUUUAGUUGCUCCAAAUAUUCAUUUUAUAGUUUAUUCAAAUAGGUCAUAAUUUAUCAUGACCAGGGGCAUUUUUUGUUUUGUUUUUAACCCCAACAGUUUUGCCUGGAUUUCUUUUUCUUUCUCUGUUUAUUUUUAUAUUGGAAGACCCCCAGGGUUUUAAUUUCUAUCUAUAUGGCGCCACAAGUGGGCAUCCUCCCCCCUGUGCGGCCCAUUUCUCCUUGGUGCCACCCCGCCUAGAGCCCACCUGCGCGUCCCUCUCCUUCUUCCUGACGCCGUCUACCCCCUGUACCUGCUUUCCGUCUUGCUUCAGAGAGAGAGAGCGAGUCGCCGUGAGGGGCUCACGGACGUCGAGGUCUCCCAUAAAGCAUUGGCGUGCGUGCUUUCAUCCCUAGGGUUCCUCCUUUCCCCAUCUACCACCGCCACUCCUUCUCCCUUCUCUCUUUCUUACCCCAAGGUAAAAUCUGUAGCUUCUAGCAGAGAGAGAGGGCAGUGUCCCGCCGUCGUCUACCCCACUUCAAUCCCCUCCGCGCCGGCUGCCAUGUCCAGGGGCUCGGGGCUGCACCCCGCGCUCCAUUCCCGUCCUCGGUGAGGCCGGGGAGCGACCUCACCGACGAGCCGAACCUUGUCUACGGCGUGCACCCGGUGUUUUCUUCCCCUGCGUCGGCUGCAGCAGGCCAUCGUCUUCAGUACAACUACUUCCUCUCCAGCCUGCCUCCUCCUCCGAUCGGCACCCCUCCUCCUUCCCUAGGUGAGCUAGAGGUUCUUCCUCCCUCCUUCUCCAUGGUAGAUGCGUCGAGGGCUCGUCGCCGUGCCUCUGUUCCGAGGGACUUCGGCUGAUGUGAGCAGGUCUGUGUGUGUGUUCAAUGUUGUGUGUUCUUGGCAGUUGCAGGGCUCGGUAGAUGUAGAGUAGAGCAGAGGCGUUCCCUCGUAGUAGCAGCACAGUAGCCUUAGUGGUUACCCCCUCGCCGUAGCAGAUGAAGUAGAGGAGACCAGCCCCGACGACCUCUCUGUUGUUGCCGGCCUCUCUAUGCAUAGGACAGCAGAGCACGUUGUCGUGGUAGAAUACCUGGUAGAGUUACUCCUCUCUGUCAGAUCCCGAAGUGUAGCGUAGUGGCGUAGUGUGUGUGAUGUUACUUAGGUGGUUGCGGGUUCGAGUCCCAGAGGAGCAACCCCCCUUUUUAUUUCUUACUUCGGCACAGUAGCCUCGCAGGAGCAGAGACAACAUAGUUUGGUGGCACCCCCUUGUUCUGUCAAGCAUCAGGCAUCUAGCAGGGCCGUGUGUUGCAGUGUUGAGAACCAGGGGGUUCAGGGUUCGACCCCCCCCAAACCUUUUAUAUUUUUGUUUCUUUCUUUGCUGUUUUGCAUUGUAAGGCUUGCAUAGAUGUUGUGGGGUGUUAUAUCCUCAUGUGGGUUUAUUUUUGCUUGCCUCCAACAACAUGUGAUGUGUGUGAUGUUAUUUUUGCUAGCAAGUAGUGUAUGCAUGUGUAGGUUAUGUGGUGUAUGUAUGUUUAAGUUUAUGUGGUGUGUGUGCACCUUGGAAUGCAUGUGUAGAUAUAUAUAUGCUUAGGAAUGCAUGUAUAGGGUUGGGUGCAUGUGAGUCUAUGUUUGCUAGAUCAUAUGUGUAGGUGGUGUAUCCAUGUUGUGCAAGUGAUAUCAGGUGUGGGUGCUUUCCCAUGUGCAUGUGAUAUGUGAUGUAUGUGAGUGUGUGAGUGCUUAUGUGUGUGUGUCUCACACAUGCCAUGGAAUGGUGUGCCAUGAUAAGCACAUGAGUUGUAUGCGUAGGCAUAGGAUGCAUUUGUGAGCAUUAGCUAGUGGGUGUUCUUUUUAUCAUGUGUAGGUGCUCUCUUGCUAGUGCUUGAUGUGUGUGGUGUGUGGUGUGUGCUAAGGCACAUGAGCAUGAGGUCUACCCCUCAUGUGCACCUAUGUAAUGUUGUAAGAGUGCAAGUGCUUGUGUAGUGUAGUUCUAGUGAAUAGCACAUGUGAUGAUGCACUAUUCACUAUAUGUGAUUCCAUGUAGGUUUCCUUUUCUAGUUUGUUGAGAAUCUGCUUAUAUUUUCUUCUCCUGUUGUUGAGCUUGUGGAGGUCCAGGUGUUGUGAUUCAGCCUUAGCUUUCAACUAGGAAGUUGUAGAUUUUGUGUUUGUCUAGCUCUGUGUAAAUUUUCAUUCCAUUUGGAGUCCUAUAGAUAUUGUUUUGGGUGCUGUCAAAAUGCUUCAGAGCAUAAACAACUAGUGAGAAUCUAGAAUUUUUACUAAGUCCAUGAAAACUGAUAUUUUUGGCCAAGUUAGCAGCUGUGUAACUUUCUGUGUGAAACUCCGUUGUGUGAUCUGUAGUACUCUUGGAUAGCUUCUGCCACAUAUCUUAUUUGGCAUAUUUGGGUGGCUGUAGGUGACUUGCAUGUAGAUCUCAAAAGGCUAUGAUGUUGUUUAAGGCAGAUUGUAUAGUGUUGAUAUUUUGAUGUUUGUGAGUGCAUAGAUGAUGGUGUGGUGAUAUUCCUUGCACCACCCCAUCCAUUUUGGUUUGAUUUAUGUCUUGGAAACGUGGAAAUACCAGAGUUAUGCCAUUGGGGUGUGUGGUGAUGUAUUUGGCACGUAACACUUCAUUUCUUGUUUCGUUGUUUCCUGUUGAUCCGUAGCUCCGUUUGUAAUGUUCUUUGUAUGCUUUUGCAUCGUUUUCGCGUGACGCAUCUGUUCAUAUCAUACUGAUGCAUGUCAAGAUAGCUUAGAGUGCAGUUCUGUCCAGGAACUUGUAUUUACUUCUCAUGCUUGUGCUAGUGAGUAGAAUAGAGAUGCAUGUUGAUAUUCUUCUCAUGCAUCAUGUGCUUGUUGCAUCUUGAGGUGCUGUUGUUCAUUGGAUGCUAUUUUUAUGUUGGGUAGCACUGGGAUCGGAGAACGAGUACGUGGAUCCGUGAGAGGAUGUGCACGACGAACAAGAGGAGUUCCAAGCUGAGGAUAUCACGGGCAAGAUGCUAUGACAUUGAUUCCAUCUCUAGAUUUGUUUUGCUAGAUUACGUUUCUUCUGUCAUAUGGUUGCUGCCUACCACCGAAAUAAUUGCCUCGUGAAUUUCCAUGGAACCCAAAAACUUAUCCCUUCCUAGCAAAUCUUGAAUUUCUAAGUAGGAUUUGCUGAGCUACUAAUGUUAGCGUUGCUAGUUGCAGGUGCUUUAUCUCAUGUGAUAACAUGAACUUGAUAUUAUCAUGUUAAAUCUGUUAUUUAAUUAAUGCACCUAUAUACUUGGUAAAUAACAGAAGGCCUAGCCUUUUGCCGGGUGUUUUUGUUCCGUUAUUGCCGCCAUAGUUACCGGCUACCGAUGUUUGGUUCCAUAAUGAUCGCUCCUAACACGUUCGGGGUUGUUACGGGGACCCCACGAUAAAUCGCGUAGUGUUAAGACUUGUCCGGCAGGACCCAACCUUGGUGUUAAUUUGCUAAUCACUUAAUAAUAAUUUGCAUAGGGAAUGGCCUCCCCGAGGAAUUUAAUCAAUAACCCGGGCGAGUGCUUCUCAUGAGUGUUGGUCCAAACUAGACAGACUACGGGGGCCACCACAGGGAAACUUGAGGUUUGGCUCGUGUAGGAUUUUCCAUCCGUCGUGUCCUGAGACUGAGAUACCGGCUCUUAUCGGGGUCGUCGACAUGACGGGAGGUCCUGCUAGAGUUGUCUUACCUUAGCGAUAUAUCUUGCAUAUAGGAAUCCCGGUGAAUCUUUGGUUCUCCCCAGAGUUGAGGUUUUCCUCUAAGGAAUCCGACGAGAUCACGAGAUUCGUGAUAGAGGAUUACUUUGUGGCCCGUGUACGUUUGUGAUGGACUAGUUGGAGCACCCUGCAGGGUUUAAUCUUUCGGAAAGCUGUGCCCGUGGUUAUGUGGCAACUUGGAAUAUUUGUUAACAUCCGGUAAUAGACAACUUAAACAUAACUCUAUUAAAAUUGCCAACUGUGUGCGUAACCGUGACUGUCCCCUUCGAAGAUAUUUCUUCGAUCGGGAACACGGUGGGGUUAUGGUUGACGUAAGUAGGUGUUCAGGAUCACUUAGUGAUCAGUUAAACGUCGACCAUAUAAGCUUAGGAUGCUGCAACCUAAAUACUCCACCUUUCCAACCUAAUAACUUGACUAGUUCAGACACCGAGGUCAUAGAUUGUUGAGUCCCCGUGGCUCACAGUUUCAUUCACAACACCAACAGGUUUAGGUACCUCCGAGACAGGUGAUCCCGACGGCACGCAACUGGCGUGGCAGUAUGAUGAGGAGAACGACCGCCUGUAUGUGAACUAUCCUGAAGACUGAGGCGUGGUCGUGAUCAUGGGCAAGCAUGCAUGGUAGCAUAGUCAUUUCUCAUGUUUUUUACUCCGUAGCGGAACUACCUUGUUUGGAUGUGUGAUGUAACUCUGAUAUAUUUAUGAGAUGGCAGUUGAAUCCCUUAUUGUCAUUCUUCUAUUAUUAUGUAUGUGCUAUGUUACCGUGCUUGCGAAAUGCUUAGAUGUGCUUCUUUCCAAUUCAGGGCCUCGUUCCCCAAAUGAGAAAGUACCGUAUCUUAGUCAUCACAAGUUGGUAAUCCGAGCCUUGCGACCAUAGGAGCCUUUGUGUGAUCGUGUCGAGUCUAGUAAAAUGUUUUGAGUCUUAGUUAUAUCGGAGAGUAGGAUUCUUUUUUCUCCUCUUCCAUGCUCUGGUGAGGUUCCCGACUUAGGAAAUCUUAAUUCUACUCCUCUUCUCGCUCAAAUUAUUUUUAGGAUCACGCGGGUAUUUGUGAAAUCUAUAUGAUUUCAAUGUGCGGAGUUCUGUCUUGGUGCGUCCUGUCUGCCUUGAUUUCUUCCGGGGAGUUGAGCUCCAGGGGAUUCUUGCGCACAUCGCCAUCAUUCAGAUUUCUGAGUAUCUAAGAAGGAAGGAUGUUCGUAAUUGCUUCAAUACUAGUAGUGGCGAGAUAACCCCGAUGUCCCCAGCACUGGUGCAGAUUGUACGGGAGUACUGCCAUACUUUGUAUCGUUGUGAUCACGAGGGUCUGUUGUAGAUGAAGGUCCGAGAUUCUAGUUGUGUGUUGAUGGAUGUGAUACAUGUGACGGGUUAGUAUAGAAGUUGUGUGAUAUUACUCCUUGUAUCGGUGUACCAGAUUGCAUGACCAGAUAUUUCGGGAAUUCAUAAGUGGGAUAUCAGGUAGUAACUUAUAGGACAAUCUUCCUACAGAUGCAUGAUGUGAGGUUGGGAUUCGAUGUUCAGUGGGUAUGUUUGUUCACGAUCGUCUUACAGCGGUUCUCGUUGUGUCUUAAGGAGUCCUUGUAGCUCGCUACGACUCGGGGAUACUUCAUAAGUCAUGUGCACUACCUUGCACAGGAUAGCUACUGUAAAUUCGAGCCCGUGCGAUCUUAUCCACGAAGAUAUCGGAUGAAAUCUCAAUCAUAUGUUUGUUUCGAGCAGUUCUAGCUCAUACUUGUUUGCAAGUGGUCUUAAUCAGAAUUUUGUCGACCAUCACUUUGAGGAAGCAUUCUUACUAUUUUGUUCGAGUGCAAUUGCUAUAUUCCUGUUCAGAUAUUCCUGUCAUUUUGAUUCAGCUAUAUCUUCAAUUUAUUCUGUGGGCUAAUGUGUUGUCCGUCUUCAGGAUGGCUCCACCAACUCGUUAGAAUCCAGGGCGUGAGGAUGUGCCGCCACCACCUCCUCCUCCGGAGAAUCCUCCUCCUCCGCCGCCUCCUCCUGCAGAGGCUUGACAAGCGGUGAUGGCUACUACAAAUGCAAACACUCAGAUGCUGCUACAGUUGUUGCAAGAGAGGGCUAAUCAGCAGCAAGGCAAUUUCCAGCAUGGUGGCAAUUAGUUUGCUAAUCUGAGUCAGUUCCUGUUGAAUCAGCCGAAGACUUUCACUUCCUGUGACCAGCCGUUUGAUGCUGAGGAUUGGAUCCGCGACAUGAACAAGCAUUUUGAGUGCAGGAAUGUUCGUCCUGAGGAUUUCGUUAAGUUUGCUACAUUCCAGCUGAAGGGGCAAGCAUCUAUCUGGUGGCAACAGUUGAAGGAUUCCAGAGGCGCUAGAGUGAUCACAUGGGAUGAGUUCUGCCAUGAAUUCAGGUCCCACUACAUUCCUUCCAGCUUCGUGGAGGAAAUGCGUGUGAAGUUCAGGCGCUUGAAGCAGGGUGGUAACUCCGUGUACAAGUACAACGUUGAGUCCCACGAGCUAGCCCGAUACGCCUUGCAGGAUAUCCCUAAUCAGAAGAGCAAGAUUUAUCAGUUCAAAGGUGGCUUGAAAGAAGAUUUGCAGUUGGCUCUCGCUUUGCACGAUCCUGAGGAGUUCGACAAGUUCUAGAACUUAGCUCUCAGGGCAGAGGCAGUCUUGCUCAGGGUGGAGAAUUCUAAGAAGCGCUUCAGAGAUUCCAGCUCUUCCUCUACUCAGGUGGUUCGGAAGCAACAAAAGUUUUGGGUGUCUCCUCCUCCUCCUCGGCACACACAUCAGCUCAAGUAUUCUGGUGGCCGUGGUUCUUCCCACCCUCCCAACCCUGUCUUUCAGCAAAGAUUCCAGCAUCAUAAGCAAGGGCCUCCUUAGACACAGUACCGUCAGCCAGCAGAGGUUACUUGUCACAAGUGUGGGCAGAAGGGUCAUUAUGCCAACAAGUGCAUGUCUCAGCUCCGUCCGCCUCCUCCUCCUCCAGGCAAACCUCCGAGCAAUGCUCUUGUCAAGUCAACCCCAGAUCAGCUCGAGUCAACAUGGUGAAUGCAGCCGAGGCAGAAAAGUCGUCAGAUGUGAUCAUGGGUAACCUCCUCGUUAAUAAUAUUCCUGCUAAAGUGUUAUUUGAUUCUGGUGCUUCGCAUUGCUUCGUGUCAUAUCCAUUUGCAUCCAAGCAUAGUGUGCGUCAGGAGCAGUUGUCUAAGCCAUUGGCAGUCGUUUCUCCUGCAAAGCAUUUGAGUUCUAGUUUGUUCGUUCCGGGUGUUUCUGUCAAGAUGGGUAGCUAUUCUUUUUUUGCAUCUCCUAUUGUCUUGGGAAAUUCCAACAUUGAUUUGAUCCUUGGUAUGAACUGGUUGGCCAUGAACAAGGCAUCGAUUGAUUUUGAAGCUAAAGAAGUGAAUCUUACUCACUCUUCGGAGGACGUGAUUAUAUUCACGGUGCGCGAUGAUACAAUCCGUCUGUUCUCUUUGAAUGAAAAGGGUGAGAUUAAUCCUAUUUCGCAAGUCCCAGUGGUGUGCGAAUAUGAAGAUGUGUUUCCAGAAGAGCUGCCAGGCAUGCCUCCGCACCAAGAAGUUGAAUUUGUCAUUGAGCUUGAAACAGGUACUGAGCCUGUGUGCAAACGGCCAUACAAAUUGGGUCCAGAAGAGUUGAAGGAACUUAAGAGGCAACUCGAUGAGCAGGAGAGUUUGGGCCUGAUCAGACCGAGGUCGUCUCCGUGGGGCUGCGGAGUUCUGUUUGUCAAGAAGAAGGAUGGCACAGACCGGUUGUGUGUCGAUUAUCGUCCAUUGAACAAGAAGACAAUCAUGAACAAAUAUCCACUUCCGAACAUAGCUGAGUUGUUCGAACAGUUGAAAGGUGCUAAGAUCUUCUCCAAGCUCGAUCUUAGAAUGGGCUAUCAUCAAAUUCGCAUUUGCGAAGAAGAUAUUCCGAAGACUGCCUUCAGGACUAGUUUUGGCUCGUAUGAGUAUACAGUCAUGUCUUUUGGUCUGGCAAAUGCUCCUCCGACAUUUUGUCGAUUGAUGAACUACAUAUUCUCCCGGUUCAAGAAUGACUUUGUCUUGCUCUAUCUCGAUGACAUUCUGGACUUUUCUGAAACUGAGGAAGAACAUGAAGAACAUCUCAGAUUGGUGCUUGAUAAGCUGAGGGAGUACAAAUUGUAUGCCAAGUUUUCCAAGUGUGAGUUCUGGUUGAAAUAAGUCAUCUAUCUUGGUCACAUUAUCUCUGCCGAGGGCAUAAAAGUUGAUCCGUCCAAGGUGCAUGCCAUUGUUGAAUGGGAGCCUCCGCAGAAUGUGAAGCAGCUUCGAAGCUUUCUCGGGCUUGCAAGCUAUUGCAGAAGGUUCGUUGAGAACUUCUCCAAGAUUGCUAAACCGCUCUCAAGUCUUCUUCAGAAAGGUGUGAAAUAUGCUUGGUCUCCAGAGUGUCAGUUGGCCUUCGACACACUAAAAGAGAAGCUCACCUCCACUCCAAUCUUGGUUCCUCCGGAUGAUUCCAAGCCUUACCACGUGUUCUGCGAUGCUUCUCUCCAGGGUCUUGGUGGAGUUCUGAUGCAAGAGAAUAAAGUGGUUGCUUAUACCUCCAGGCAGUUGAAAAGAAUUACCCUGUGCAUGAUCUUGAGCUAGCAGCUGUGGUACACGCUUUGUUGACUUGGAGACACCUCUUGUUGGAACAAAAGGUUGAAGUGUUCACCGAUCACAAGAGUCUCAAGUACAUCUUCACUCAGCCUAACCUGAAUCUCUGGCAAACACGUUGGGUGGAAAUGCUCCAAGAUUUUAAUCCGAGUGUUGAGUACACGCCAUGCAAAGCUAAUGUCGUGGCAGAUGCCUUGAGCAGGAAGGCGUACUGCAACAAUCUCAUUCUGCAACCUCUCCAGCCUGAGCUAUGUGAGUCUUUCAGGAAGCUCAACCUUUAGUUAGUACCUCAGGGAUUUCUUGCAAACCUUCAGAUCUCUCCUACCUUGGAAGAUCAGGUUCGAGAAGCACAGCUUCUUGAUGCAAUGGUGAAGAAAGUCAAGAUUGGUGUGGCAAAGAGUUUUCCCAAAUAUAAGUUCUUCAGUGUUGAUGCCAGAGACACGUUGUUCUUUGAGGAUCGUCUUGUCGUUCCGAAAGGUGAUAUCAGAAAGGUAAUCAUGGAAGAAGCCCAUAACUCUCUGCUUUCUAUUCAUCCUGGAAGCUCCAAGAUGUAUCAGGACUUGAAACAGACCUUCUGGUGGACUCGCAUGAAGCGUGAGAUUGCUCAGUUCGUAAAUGAAUGUGAUGUAUGUCAAAGGGUGAAAGCAGAGCAUCAACAUCCAGCAGGUCUUUUGCAUCCAUUGCCCAUUCCCGAGUGGAAGUUCGAUCACAUUGAGAUGGAUUUCGUCACCGGGUUUCCGAAGUCCAAGAAGGGUAAUGAUGCCAUCUUCGUCGUCAUUGACAAGUUGAGUAAAGUGGCUCAUUUUCUUCCAGUCAAGGAAUCCAUUUCGGCAGCUCAGCUUACAGAGUUGUACACUUCCAGGAUUGUGUCCUUGCAUGGCGUGCCUAUGAUGAUUUCUUCAGAUCGCGGAAAUAUCUUCACUUCCAAGUUCUGGGACUCUUUUUAGUCUGCAAUGGGCACGAAGAUCCGCUUCAGCACAACUUUUCAUCCUGAGACUAGUGGUCAAGUGGAGCGAGUCAAUCAAGUUCUUGAGGAUAUGCUGAGAGCCUGUGUUAUCUCUUUUGGCAUGAAGUGGGAGGAUUGUGUGCCUUUCGCGGAGUUCUCGUAUAACAACAGUUAUCAAGCUAGUUCUGGCAAAGCUCCAUUUGAAAUUUUCUAUGGCAGGAAGUGUCGUACCCCGCUCAAACGGUCCGAGACCGACGAGCGUCAGAUCCUUGGGAAUGACCUGAUAGAAGAAGCUGAGGAGAUGUGUCGGGUCAUUCGUGAUAACCUCAGAGCAGCUCAGUCCCGUCAGAAGAGCUAUUAUCAUAGCAAGCAUCGUGACAUGUCUUAUGAGCUUGAUGACUUCGUCUAUCUCAAGGUGUCGCCUAUGAAGGGUACGCAACACUUUGGCAUCAAAGACAAGCUUGCGCCUCGUUUCGUUGGUCCGUUCAGAGUUGUUGGCAAGAGAGGCGACCUUGUGCACCAGCUCGAGCUCCCGUCAAACUUUGCAAUUGUGCAUGAUGUGUUCCAUGUUUCUCAGCUCCGGAGGUGUUUCAAGACCCCAGAGCGCACUGUUCAUCUUCAAGUCAUCGACCUUCAGCCUCACCUUUCUUAUCGUGAGCAUCCAGUUGCGGUUCUCGAGGCGACUGAGCGCGAGACUUGCAACAAGACUGUCAAAUUUCUCAAAGUGCAGUGUUCACACCAUUCCGAUAAAGAGGCAACUUGGGAACGCGAGGAUCACCUCCGUUCUGAAUUUCCGGAGUUCUUUCAGGCAUAGAUCUCGGGGCAAGAUCUUUUUGUAGUGUGGGAGAGUUUGUAAUGCCCCAAGAGUGUAUCUUUCCCUUUUUGGAACCUUCUCCUUGUGGGUCCAACUUAUCUUUGACAUGAGGUUAUGCAAUGUGAUAUUUCAUGUGAUGCUUCCCUUGUUUUAUUCUCAUUUGCAUGCAUGCAUCCAUGCCAUCCCAUUCAUCAUUGCUUUUGUAUUGUUGUUCUUGUGUUCCAUGAGUUGUCAUGUGAUGAUGGUGUGUGUGGUAAGUGGUCUUGAGGAGUAGUGCAAUGGUAGUAGGAAGCUAUGUGAUUGCCCUAGGUUUUUAAAACCUUCCCUCUCUCUUUUAUACCAAGGUCAAGUUUCACCUGUUCCUUCUCUAUUUCAAAAAUGUCCUUGUGUUAGCAUUGUUUUGUGGUGGAUUUGAGAUGUGGUUUUGAUGUUUUGAAUAGGUGUGCAAAUGGUGCAAAUAGUUACAAAACAGAUCCAAUAUUUCUGUUUUGUAAAUAUUUAGUUGCUCCAAAUAUUCAUUUUAUAAUUUAUUCAAAUAGGUCAUAAUUUAUCAUGACUAGGGGCAUUUUUUGCUUUGUUUUUAACCCCAAUAGUUUUGCCUGGCUUUCUUUUUCUUUCUCUAUUUAUUUUUAUAUUGGAAAACCCCCAGGGUUUUAAUUUCUAUCUAUAUGGUGCCACAGGUGGGCUUCCUCCCCCCUGUGCGGCCCAUUUCUCCUCGGUGCCACCCCGCCUAGAGCCCACCUGCGCGUCCCUCUCCUUCUUCCUGACGGCGUCUACCCCCCGUGCCUGCUUUCCGUCUUGCUUCAGAGAGAGAGCGAGUCGCCGUGAGGGGCUCACGGACGUCGAGGUCCCCCAUAAAGCAUUGGCGUGCGUGCUUUCAUCCCUAGGGUUCCUCCUUUCCCCAUCUACCACCGCCACUCCUUCUCCCUUCUCUCUUUCUUCCCCCAAGGCAAAAUCUGUAGCUUCUAGCAGAGAGAGAGGGCAGUGUCCCGCCGUCGUCUACCCCGCUUCCAUCGCCUCCGCGCCGGCUGCCAUGUCCAGGGGCUCGGGGCUGCACCCCGCGCUCCAUUUCUGUCCCCGGUGAGGCCGGGGAGCGACCUCACCGACGGGCCGAACCUUGUCUACGGCGUGUACCCGGUGUCUUCUUCCUGUGGGUCGGCUGCAACAGGCCAUCGUCUUCAGUACAACUACUUCCUCUCGAGCCUGCCUCCUCCUCCGAUUGGCGCCCCUCCUCCUUCCCUAGGCGAGCUAGAGGUUCUUCCUCCCUUCUUCUCCGUGGUAGAUGCGCCGAGUGCUCGUCGCCGUUCCUCUGUUCCGAGGGACUUCGGCUGAUGUGAGCAGGUCUGUGUGUGUGUUCUGUGUUGUGUGUUCUUGGCAGUUGCAGGGCUCGGUAGAUGCAGAGUAGAACAGAGGUGUUCCCUCGUAGUAGCAGCACAGUAGCAGAUGCAGUAGAGGAGACCAUCCCCGGUGACCUCUCUGUUGUCGCCGGCCUCUAUGUGCAUAGCAGAGCAGAGCACGGUGUCAUGGUAGAAUACCUGGUAGAGGUACUCCUCUCUGUCAGAUCCCGAAGUGUAGCGUAGUGGCGUAGUGCGUGUGAUGUUACUUAGGUGGUUGCGGGUUCGAGUCCCAGAGGAGCAACCCCCCUUUUUAUUUCUUACUUCGACACAGUAGCCUCACAGCAGCAGAGACAACAUAGUUUGGUGGCACCCCCUGUUCUGUCAAGCAUCAGGCAUCUAGCAGGGUGGUGUGUUGCAGUGUUGUAAACCAGGGGGUUCAGGGUUCGACCCCCCCCNAUGUGUAGAUAUAUAUAUAUAUGUGCUUAGGAAUGCAUGUAUAGGGUUGGGUGCAUGUGAGACUAUGUUUGCUAGAUCAUAUGUGUAGGUGGUGUAUCCAUGUUGUGCAAGUGAUAUUAGGUGUGGGUGUUUUCCCAUGUGCAUGUGAUAUGUGAUGUAUUUGAGUGUGUGAGUGCUUAUGUGUGUGUGUCUCACACAUGCCAUGGCAUGAUGUUCCAUGAUAAGCACAUGAGUUGUAUGUGUAGGCAUAGGAUGCAUUUGUAAGCAUAAGCUAGUGGGUGUUCUUUUUAUCAUGUGUAGGUGCUCUCUUGCUAGUACUUGAUGUGUGUGGUGUGUGGUGGUGUGCUAAGGAACAUGAGCAUGAGGUCUACCCAUCAUGUGCACCUAUGUAAUGUUGUAAGAGUGCAAGUGCUUGUGUAGGUGUAGUUCUAGUGAAUAGCACAUGUGAUGAUGCACUAUUCACUAUAUGUGAUUCCAUGUAGGUUUCCUUUUCUAGUUUGUGCCCUUUUGUUCUAUGCAAGUACAUAGGUUUUAUAUAUUUUUUGGGGUAGAAUCAUCCCAGGAAUCCAUUGGUGAAGUCAGUUUUGCCUUUGGAACACUUCCUGGAGAUGACUUAUUUCAGAUUUUUUCUAUGUUUAGAGCUUGGUUCCAUGAGAUGUGGUGAGAACAAGAGUUUGAUUCUUGGUUGUGGCAGUAGAGGGUGACCCCCUCUACCACAUGUUGCUUUUGUUUCAUGCUUAGGAACCCAUAUGUGCAAGUGGUGCUUAGUCAAAGUAGGCAUGUGGCUGAAAUUCCAGUUUAGUGAAAAUCACAGAUUUUCACUAAGUCUGAGAAUCUGAUUAUAUUUUCUUCUCGUGUUGUUGAGCUUGUGGAGGUCCUGGUGUUGUGAUUCAGCCCUAGCUUUCAACUGGGAAGUUGUAGCUUUUGUGUUUGUAUAGCUCUAUGUAAUUUUUCAUUCCAUUUGGAGUCCUGUAGAUAUUGUUUUGGGUGCUGUCAAAAUUCUUCAGAGCAUAAACAGCUAGUGAGAAUCUGGAAUUUUCACUAAGUCCGUGAAAACUGAUAUUUUUGGUCAAGUUAGCAGUUGUGUAACUUUCUGUGUGAAACUCCGUUGUGUGAUCUUUUUGCUUGUGCUUGUAGUACUCUUGGAUAGCGUGUUCCACGUAUCUUAUUUGGCAUAUUUGGGUGGCUGUAGGUGACUUGCAUUAAGCUCUCAAAAGGCUACGCUGCUGUUUAUGGCAGAUUGUAUAGUUUUGAUGUUUUGAUGCUUGUGAGUGUAUAGAUGAUGGUGUGGUGAUAUUCCUUGCACCACCCCAUCCAUGUUGGUUUGUUUUAUGUCUUGGCAACCUGGAAAUACCAGAGUUAUGCCAUUGGGGUGUGUGGUGAUGUAUUUGGCACGUAGCACUUCAUUUCUUAUUUUGUUGUUUCCCGUUGAUCCGUAGGUCCGUUUGUAAUGUUCUUUAUAUGGUUUUGCAUCAUUUUCGCGUGAUGGAUCUGUUCAUAUUAUCCUCAUGCAUGUCAAGAUAGCUUAGAGUGCAGUUCUGUCCAGGAACUUGUAUUUACUUCUCAUGCUUGUGCUAGUGAGUAGAAUAGAGAUGCAUGUUCAUAUUCAUCUCAUGCAUCAUGUGCUUGUUGCAUCUUGAGGUGCUGUUGUUCAUUGGAUGCUAUUUUUAUGUUGGGUAGCACCAGGAUCGGAGAACGAGUACGUGGAUCCAGGAGGGUACGUGCACGAGAACAAGAGCAGUUCCAAGCUGAGGAUAUCACGGGCAAGAUGAUAUGACCUUGAUUCUAUCUCUAGACUUGUUAUGCUAGAUUACGUUUCUUCCGUCAUAUGCUCGGUGCCUAGUACUGAAAUAAUUGCCUCCGGAAUUGCCAUGAAACCCGAACACUUAUUCCUUCCUAGCAAAUCUUCAAUGGCUAAGUAUGCUUUGCUUAGCUACUAAUGUUAGCGUUGCUAGUUGCAGGUGCUUUAUCUCAUGUGAUAACAUGAUCUUGAUAUCAUUAUGUUAAAUCUGUUAUUUAAUUAAUGCACCUAUAUACUUGGUAAAUAACGGAAGGCCUAGCCUUUUGCCGGGUGUUUUUGUUCCGUUAUUGCCGCCAAAGUUACCGGCUACCGGUGUUUGGUUCUGAAAGUGUGUUAUAUGGACUAGAGGGGGGUGAAUAGGAGAUUCUUAGAAUCUCAUCACUCAGGAAAUUCCUUUUGAGGAAAUUCCUCACUGAUGACUAACUUACAGCGGGAAUAACAAAGGAUCAGAAGUGCAAAGUAUCACUACAGCAGUUUUCAAGGUGAAGAAUACGAAAAACAGUUUACACAGUAUGCAGGCACGGAGAAAACAGAUUAGGAUUAACUCGCAUGAAGAUUUUGGGGUUGAGGAAUUCCAGAGAAAGUCUUCAGCAAAUUCUUCAAACAGUGACAGUGAAAAUCAUCAACAUACAAUCUGAGGAAUGUAAGGAGUUGAAGAAAUAGAACCUGUUUCACAGUGAAGACAGUGGUUGAUGACCCAGUUCCAAUUGCUGUGACAGUUGUACAUCUGGUUUGGAGCGGCUUGGUAUUGAAACCAAAGGACACAGAGUCCCAGGACACACAGUCCCUACCAUAUUCUCCUUGGGCUAAGAACACACAGUCCUCGCCCAACACUCGUGGUAAGUCGUCAGGGCAGACUUCCAAACCCUCACAAACUUGGUCACCUGGCGAUCCACAAUUGACUGCUGGAUUGCUCUAGACCAUGACGCCUAACCGUCUGGAGGAUGCACAGUCCUCAAAGGUAAAAGGCUUCAGUCCCACACAGGAACAACUUCUUCAGUGAUGCUCAAUCACUUGGUUUUUGGUUUGUGGUUUGGUGUUUGGGGUAUUUCCUCACUGAUGAAUUACUUUUGAUGACUCAGAGGAAUUUGGGUUGCUCUUAUGACAAGUGUCAGUUUCUAACGGAGCAGCCAACCAGCUAAUGGUUGUGGGGGCGGCUAUUUAUACCGUGGGAGCAUCCCAACAUGAUUUGACAUUAAUGCCCUUAAAUAAUAUGACCGUUGGUGUGGAUAAGACCAAUGAUGUGGCGUGACUAUCGGUAACGGUCGGGACCCUCAACUGUGAGAGUCCUCUUGUCUCUCAUAUUCCCCACUUGAGGCUUUUGGUAGGAUUAGGCUUGGGUUGAGCAUCAUGAGGAAAUUCAUUCCAAUGUGUUACCUCGACCCCCUUUAACAGUACGGUGUUCCUAUUACUCAAGUGUGAAGAAAAUAAAACAAAAAGGAUAAAUCUUCAUGCUUCAAAGUCUUGAGAUUGAUUUUCUUCAGGACACACCGAUUUCCUCAAUUUCAAUAUUUUCAUGUGGAAUAUCAAUUUCAUCGCAAAUUCUUCGUGAUUCAAUUCUUCAGCUUCAGACCAAUUUCUUCAACCGAAGAUAUACAUUUUUAGGGGUCGAUAUUCAUCGAAUAUUUCAAACUCCUCAGUGACUUAUAUAUCCUGUGUACACUCGUGAACACAUUAGAUACUUAAUCUAUAAGUAUUCAAACCACCAAAAUCACUAAGGGGCACUAGAUGCACUUACAAUCUCCCCCUUUUGGGUGGUUGAUGACAAUUAGGUUAAGUCUUCAACAGGGAUAAAAAUAUGAAUUGUAAAUACUCAUUUGAGGAAUUUGAAAUCAAGAUUCAGAGAGACUCCCCCUGAAGAUGUGCAUAUCUUGAGGAUUUUGCUUUUCACAGCAAAUGCACAUUGAUGAUUUAUAUCAUGGAGAUCCCCCCUGAGUCUUGUAAAUCAUGCAUACAUACGACAUAUAGUAUGAAGAAACUGAGGAUGCAUGAUGACAAAUGGUAUCUGACGAAUUCCAGCAUGCGUGCAUUAAAAUUUUGAGGAAUAAGCAUGCGAAGAAAAACGUUCAAAAGCGUCAGAGUACCAUCGGGCUUAAGUUACAACUCAUUACAUAAAACACUUCAGAAGUGCCAAGAGUUUGUAACUUAAAUAAAGUUUAUAAGCCCCCAAAAUAUCCCGCGUGAAGACUAACUCUCAAGUUUCUCCCCCUUUGUCAUCAAGUGACAAAAAGGGACAAACUGAGGACUAACGCCCGUGAAGACUUUCACUUCUUUGCAGUUGAGGAAGACGCGUGAGGAUUCUUGGGAGCAGAUUUCCUCCUUGGACCAAUGGCAGUAUCUUGUUGAUCUUCAUCUGGUUCAGUAGUGCGGAAUGAAGAAAACGAACUGUCCUCAAGACCUGGAACUGGGAUUGGCCUGAAUUUCUUCUUUGGUGGCCACGACCAGUCGAAGUCCUGCACAAACUCCAAUUCUUCAAGUUCUGCUGGAGUCUUCAGAUGAGCCAGUGUGGCCCAGGUGCGAUCAAAAACCUCAUGAAGAUAAUGAUGGUUAAGCUUCACAGCAUUCUGCGUUUCAUUGAGAGUUUUCACAAUGGCGUCGAACUAGCGUUUGACCCACUUGUGAUUGCGAUCCACCUUUUGGUGAAGACUGAGAAGAAGCUCUCUGGUAUUCAUCACCUAGGAGCAACAGGACUUGGAGGAUGGGUUUCAGUGUCAUCCCAUGAGGAAUAAGCAUCUGGCUCUCAGAACUGGCCAUCAAGGGGCCGACUGCCUUCAUCAAUGACAGACUUGCCUUUUCCUUCAACAGACUCGAAAGUUUCCUUGUUGACCCUUAGAGGAGGCAUAUAACCGAUAUGAUUGUUGAAAUCAGCGUGAUAGUUGAUGCCUGACCUGCGUAUGAUGAAUCUCAUGAUCCAUGGAGCGUAAAUCUUCAGGUCAAAAGGGGCAAUAGCAUUUUCUGCCAGAGUCCUCAAGAAUAAAUCAUGGAUGUUGAUGGGAAUGCCAUGUGUGAUGUUGAAGAGGAUAUUCUUCAUGAUGCCUAUGACGUCUUCUUCAUCAUCAUGGCCCUUGAUUGGCGCAAGAACGCUGCAGAGGAUUCUGUAAACCGUCCUGGGUUCAUACUUCAGCUCAUGGACCAGGAAGGUUGUUCUUGGUGGUUGCCCUUUAGCCAAAGGCUUCAUGAUGACUUCCAUCAACUUGUUUGCCAGCUCACGUUCAUCAUACAGCUUUACUACCUGCUCUGAGGGAAUUGACACUGGAAGUUCACGCAACAGCUCAUUGGUAGGAGCCUUGAAGUGUGUGUUCUGCGUCAUCCAAUCCAGCACCCAAGUGUUGAUGUGUGUUGGAUAUCCAGAGAUGUGCAGAGUGGUAUUGAAUUGAAGAACAAUGUCACUGUUCCAAUCGCAGAUAUCUGAGCACAUGGGUAGAAGUCCUGCUUCAUGAAGAACGUUGAGGACUGGAGCAAAGCAUGGAAUUUCUUCAAGCUCAACAUGAGGAAUAUGCCAGUGCUGGAAAAUCUUGUUUCUUCCACACAACACAGAUGCAUAGUAGUUGAGCCGCGUCCUUGUCGAAAACUUCAGUUGCCUGAUGCGAGGCUUGUCAUAGGGAUUUUCUCCAAUGAAGAACAUGCGUCCUUCAAAGAAGGAUUCCUUUUGAAACUUUCGCCGCUUGGAGAACGGCUGACGUUGCAUUGGCUGGAGAAUUUGCGGCUUGCCUUGAGGAGAGACAACCAUUGCAGUUUCUGGAUUGAGGACGACAAGAGCAUUCUCUGGAUCUGGUGCAUUUUCCUCAGCAUGUUCCUCAGAAUGAGGAAUUUCAUCUGCUUGUGCUUCAGGCUGAGGAGCAUGCUCUGGUUGAGGAAUAUCAUCAACGGGAGCUUCUGGUUGAGGAUUUUGCUCUCGAGGAGGAAUUGGUUCAUCCUGAGCCUCAGGUUGAGGAUUUUGCUCAGGAUUUUGAAUUUCAUCAGGCUGAGGAUUUUCACUUUGUUUUUCCUCAGCAUGAGGAGCUUGCUUGGUGGAGGAGCCAGAUUCAUGAGCUGGUGCAGCUGAUCUUUGAGCAGUUUCUUCAGGAGGAAUGAAGGACUAAGGACUGUCAUCAAUUCAAAUUUCCUCAUCAUUGUGUUCCUCAAACUCAGCAUUCUUCAUUUCCUCAUCAGCCCCGUGCUCCUUGUCUUUGCUUUCGAAGGGAUUCAUCUCAUAUGAUGGAGCAACGUUGAGAAGCACAGGAUCCAGAGGUGCAUUUUCAUCAAGAGAUUUGAGGCGCUUGGCCUCAAUUCUUCUGCAGAGGAAGCUUUUCUCUUCUUGGCUUCCUUUUCAGCAACUCUGGUCUUUUUCACGUCUGAUGCAGACGGAGUCAUUUUCUUCACCUUUGAAGCUUUUGGUGAAGGCGUUUUCUCAGUUGAAGCAGUUUCAUCAGCUGGAGCAGAGUCAUCAGCUGGCUUAGAAGCAGCUGGAGCAGUUUCACGAGCUGUAGCAGAGUCAUCAGCUGGGUUUUCCUUGAUAAUUUCCUCAAUAGCCGGUUCAUCAACACGGCUUUCUUGAGGGAUUUCCUCAGCAUGAGCAGUUUCAUCAGCUGGUUCUUCAAUCAGAGGCUGAGGUGUUAGUACUGGAGGGGCAGCCUUCUUGUUGUAAUCAUCAACUGCGUCAGUGGCAAAUUUGAUGAAAUUGUUUUUGAGACUUUGACGAUCAGAGACCUUAGUGUACUUGUCAGUCAAAGUCUUCAAUUUAGCCUGUGUGGAUACAAGUGCAUCAAGCGUCAAGUUGAGGAGAUUCUGUAUGAGGAAUUUCUCCUUUUUGAGCUUUGCAACCUUAGCUUGUUUGGCUUGCUGCUCUUUCCACUUGGCCUGGUUGAUGAAUGUGGCCACCAUGUGGCUGAUGCCUGGAGGAAGCUUCAAAUCAUCUAUUGGAGUGUUAGGGUCCUCAUACCAGAUGUUGAUGUAGUCCAGGAGGACUUUUGGGUCCAUGGCCAGAGGAAUAGAGCUGCCAGAAGCUUGUGCUACCCUCUCCUGCUUAUUUCUGUUGAUGGCUUGCAGAGUAUCAUCAUCAAAUUCAUCACUACCUUCUGAUGCAGAAGGAACUUUGAUGAUUUUGCUUGGGCUUGGUCUUGUUCCUCUCCCAGCAGUCACCUUAGUCUUCCGGGGAGUCAGUGAAGACUUUGUCUCGGAGCUUGUUGCAGACGGGACUGAGGAGCUGGAGAUAGUGGGCAGUUGCUUCAGUAUCUGCUUCUGUUCAGGCUUUGAAGCCUUUGGUGGUGUUGAGGGUUUUGGAGCUGAUGCUAGUGCAACUUUCUGAGGCAUUUUCUCUUGAGGCUUUGAAGCCUUUGGUUUUGGUGGCACAGACUUCAUGUGAGGAAUGACCAUACCAGAAGUCUCAGCUGCAGAGGAGGUGGCGGCAGUUGCAGCAGCAUCAGAUUCUUCACUGAAUUUCCUCACAACGGCUUCUGCUUGCUUCUGAAGCUUUGACAAGUGUUUUGACUUUUCUUCAGGAUAGUCAUCAAUUGUCUUGAGGCUUGAGGGGUGUGCAUCCUGAUAAUCCUCAAGAGGAGGCCGUUUGCAAGGAGGCUUCAGAGAGAAUUUCUUCGCAUACUUGGGAGUGACGAAUUUGUACUCUUUCCACUCCUUAGCCCAUCGGCGUUCUAUCUUUUGAAGCCUUAUCUUCCUCUUGGGCAUAGAUUCUUGCUCAUCACGUGUGCAAUAUUCCAAGUAUAUGUCUUGAGGGAUAUCUAUGGCAGUGUUCUGCUCGAGCUUGUUUCCACCCUUUUGCUUCCUUUCAUCUUCCAUUUUCUUCAGCUGAGGCUUUUGCUGAGGAAAUUGAGCUCUCGAGGAUUCUGAUGAAACUUGCAGAUUUUCUUCAAGAAACGCUGUAAAUGAGUUAAGUUGAUGAGAACCUAGAGAUUCAUCAGCUGACAUGUUUGUACCUGUGAACAUAGUAUAGUUGCGAGGAAUUUGGAGAGGUCAUUUGCGUUCUCAGAUUUGAUGAAAUGAAAAAAAUUGAAAGUUGAGGAAUUUGACCAGUGGUUGAGGAAUUCGUCUAAGCACACUGUUCUUGGGUUCCAGAGUUGUACAGAUUCGAAAAUUUGCACAAUGAGGAAUCUCGUGAAAAUCUUUGAUGCUUAGUGAAGUUCAUCAAUAGUUGAGUGAUAGGCAGUGUUUGAGGAAAAAGAAACUGAUGGAUACUUGAGGAAAAAUAGAUUUCACAUCUCUAAGGUAAAAUAGUAUAUCAAAAGAGCUGCAAAAAUAGGGUUUUUAUUUACCCUAGAUGGCGCACACGAAGAACAGAGAAGGUAGUAGCAGUAGAUGCUCUUCGGUGCGAGUCCAAUGCGCCCUAACUUGGCAACAGAGGACAACUACGGCGGCGGCGGACGAAUAUGGUCCGGUUCCGGCAUGGUUUCAGCGACGGAGAGGUCGAGGCAGUCAAGCUUUUCCUCGCCGGCGUCGAGACUUCUAGCGGUGGUGCUAGGGCUUUUGAGCUUUGCUGUAGCAGGAGGGCAAUGGGACAAAGAAGAUUUUACCGAAGGGAGAUGGGGACAUAUUUAUAGCCAGGCGGUAACUGUUGGCGCGAAAGUAUUGGACUAAAUAGCCCGUGUCUCUAUGUCUCCGCAGGACACGUGUAGCCCACGACUGAGGCGGUGGAGAUCGUGGAGAUCGUGGUUAUCCGAACGGGGAAAGUGGGGUUCAGUUAACAAAAAUAUUUUUGAAGAUUUGAGGAUUUUGUUACACAAUCAUCAGCUGACAAGGACGCAGUGAGGAUUUGAACAAAGUUUCAAGUAGAACGCAUAUGAAGAAUUGAAUAGACUAGAUGAGAGUAGCAUAGAGGGAAAGUAGGGUCCGAUCACAUUCACUUAGAGGAAAUACCAAAUUGAAGAAUAUAGCUAUAAGUGAAUGCUGUUGAGGACUUGAAACACAGUCUAUCUAGGUAAAUGAAAAUCAUCAAGUGUUUUUGAAUAUUUUGAUUAACUUGAGGAUUUUGUGACAAUGCGUCAUGAUGAUGAAUUUCAGUUUUGAAGAAAAACAAGUUUGAAGAACAACUGUUUUGAAGAAAAUCAACUUUUGAAGAAAAUGAGCUUUGAAGAAAUUCAACUUGAGGAAUUUCAAGUUGGGUGGUGGCGUGACCCACCAUAUAAGAAUGUUGAUUACAGACGCCGCGUACAAUUGUCGUAGGGCCCCGAGAAUCAAUUUCUUCGUUGAUUUCCUCACACUAAGAGUGAUAUUCUUCAUUGGUUGAAGAAAAUUGAUUCAUCGUGUGUUGCACAUCUAAGUCAUAAAUUUUGCAUAAGUGUUAGGAUGUGUGCAAGUUUUUACAAAACAUUUGAAGAUUCUAAGAUAUUUAGCUCACACCGCAACUUGCAAAACCUUUUCUCAUCCAAGGGCUUAGUGAAGAUAUCUGCCAGUUGAUCGUCAGUCUUCACAUGGUCGAUGAGGAUAUUGCCCUUGAGGACAUUGUCCCAAACAAAAUGAGGACGAAUCUGGUUGUGCUUGGUCUUCGAGUGCUGUACUGGGUUGUAUGCAAUCUUGAUUGUACUCUCAUUGUCGCGGUAGAGAGGCACAUUCUUCAUGUUGAUGCCGUAGUCCUUGAGGGUUUGCUUCAUCCAUAGCAAUUGAGCACAACAUGAACCAGCAACAAUGUACUCAGGUUCGGCAGUG